Molecule: non-coding RNA, 949 nt
Filed under: Pseudochirops archeri (green ringtail possum)
Lineage: Eukaryota; Metazoa; Chordata; Mammalia; Diprotodontia; Pseudocheiridae
Description: 12S ribosomal RNA
Rfam family: Bacterial small subunit ribosomal RNA
Source: RNAcentral
CAAAGGCUUGGUCCUAGCUUUUCUGUUAGUUAUAAUUAAACCUACACAUGCAAGUUUCCGCUAACCAGUGAGAAUGCCCUUAAAAUUGAAUUCAAUUACUAGGAGCAGGUAUCAGGCACACUCUGAGUAGCCCACAACACCUUGCUUAACCACACCCCCACGGGACACAGCAGUGACUAAAAUUAAGCAAUAAACGAAAGUUUGACUAAAUUACAAUUAAUUAGGGUUGGUAAAUCUCGUGCCAGCCACCGCGGUCAUACGAUUAACCCAAAUAAACAGAAAAACGGCGUAAAGCGUGUUUAAGUAUUCUUCCAACAAUAAAGCUAAUAUCUUACCCGGCUGUAAUACGCACCAGUUAGCAUUAAAAUAAAUUACUAAAGUAGCUUUACUAAAACUGAACACACGAUAGCUAAGAAACAAACUGGGAUUAGAUACCCCACUAUGCUUAGCCCUAAACUUAAAUAAUUAAUUAACAAAAUUAUUCGCCAGAGAACUACUAGCUACUGCUUAAAACUCAAAGGACUUGGCGGUGCUCUAUACCCAUCUAGAGGAGCCUGUUCUAUAAUCGAUAAACCCCGAUAAACCUCACCCCUUUUUGCUAAUACAGCCUAUAUACCGCCAUCGUCAGCCCACCUCAACAGAGAACCAAAGUAAGCAAAACUAUUACCAUAAAAACGUUAGGUCAAGGUGUAGCAUAUAAAGGGGAAAGUAAUGGGCUACAUUUUCUAUCACAGAACAUAACGAAAUACCUCUUGAAAUCUGAGAUAUCGAAGGAGGAUUUAGUAGUAAAUUAAGAAUAGAGAGCUUAAUUGAACCUGGCAACAGAGCGCGCACACACCGCCCGUCACCCUCCUCAAUUAACUUUAACAAAUAACUAAUAACCUAUCAUAACAAAAGAGGAGAAAAGUCGUAACACGGUAAGUGUACUGGAAAGUGCACUUGGAAUAUC